UCGAGAAUCUUCCACAAUGGACGAAAGUCUGAUGGAGCGACGCCGCGUGAUUGAUGAAGUCCCUCUGGGACGUAAAGAUCUUUUAUGAGGGAAGAAGUUUAUUGACGGUACCUCAUGAAUAAGGGGCUCCUAAUCUCGUGCCAGCAGGAGCGGUAAUACGAGAGCCCCGAGCGUUAUCCGGAAUUACUGGGCGUAAAGGGUGUGUAGGUGGUUUUGUUAGUCUUUUGUUAAAUCUCCGGGCUUAACCUGGAAACCGCAAGGGAAACGGCAGAACUUUGAGAGUGUGAGAGGUCUAUGGAACUCAUGGUGUAGGGGUGAAAUCCGUUGAUAUCAUGGGGAACACCAAAAGCGAAGGCAAUAGACUGGCGCAUUUCUGACACUGAAACACGAAAGCGUGGGUAGCGAAUGGGAUUAGAUACCCGCGUAGUCC
This 430-nucleotide ribosomal RNA is filed under the name uncultured bacterium. Its description in RNAcentral is "bacterial SSU rRNA". It matches the Rfam family "Bacterial small subunit ribosomal RNA", at positions 355 to 796 of the family's 1533-position model. The record is from RNAcentral.